CAGAAUAUGUGCAGGCCCUCCUGACCACUUCCAGGAAACCAUCUUCUGUGCAGAGGAGGAGGAUUGUCAGCAAGAUAGAAGAAGACCAUAGGAUGCUGCAAACUGUUUUUAAAGAGUGCUUAGGUCCUGCAGCGGGUCCCCUCAAAGAUCCUAUAAAAGCCAUUUUAGAACUUAUUCAAGCUUCUGAUGCUGAGGGUAUGAAAAUAGCCCUUCUGCCCAUUCUCAAAGAAUUUCCUGAUCUAAGGAAGGAACACCUGAGUGCAGUGCUGGACAUCAAAGACUCACUCAGCCGAGAAGACAGAGCUGCUCUCUUGAAGGCAUUUCACGAUAAUUGCAGGGAAUCAGAAACAGAAGCAAACUUGCUUUUUGGAGAUGUAGAAGUAAAACCUAGAAAAUAUGGACUCUGUGGCUGCCUCUGCUGUUAGCAAAGGCCUGCUGUGAGAAACUUAAGGUCUCACUCCCACGUGGCAACAUCUGCAGUCAACAGCUCCUUGAAAGCUUCAGGGACCUGUGCAGCCAGAUGCAUGGACAAGCUUGACAGCUAUGGAAGAAUGGAAGACACAUGCAGAACUUUUGCAGGAGAACCACGUGGCCCAAAUCCUAAUCUUCUAUGCAAAGUCCCAGUGGAAGAUGAAUGGGAUAUGGCAGAAAGACAUUCCUUCAAAAUUUGCUAGAGAUUGCUACUUAGCUGAGUCAUGGUGGUUAUUCCCAGGCUGUGUCAUGGUGGUGUGUAGAAGAGGAGGAAGGUUCCCCAUUACCAAAUUUCUGUCUGUUUCCAUCCCUUCAUGCAAUCUCACACAAAACCAGGGUCUGCUGCACCCCAUGGUGUCCUAGCAGGUGACAUGGCAUCACAAUCUCCCCCAGGGACCCAGAACCCUCUGUUAGGGAAACCUGCCUUACCGCGUGGUGCUG
RNAcentral lists this long non-coding RNA (912 nucleotides) under Athene cunicularia (burrowing owl). Its description in RNAcentral is "lncRNA (ENSACUG00000003792.1)". Lineage: Eukaryota; Metazoa; Chordata; Aves; Strigiformes; Strigidae. The record is from RNAcentral.